GGCCAUAGCUCAGUGGCAUAGCUCCUGCUUCACAUGCAUGAUGUCCCAGGUUCAAUCCCUGGCCACGUAGGGCUG
This is a non-coding RNA of Podarcis lilfordi (Lilford's wall lizard), 75 nucleotides long. The record is from the annotation of a GenBank genome assembly. Lineage: Eukaryota; Metazoa; Chordata; Lepidosauria; Squamata; Lacertidae.